This 541-nucleotide ribosomal RNA is filed under the name uncultured bacterium. RNAcentral describes it as "partial 16S ribosomal RNA". It matches the Rfam family "Bacterial small subunit ribosomal RNA", at positions 355 to 887 of the family's 1533-position model. The record is from RNAcentral.
UGGGGAAUUUUGGACAAUGGGGGAAACCCUGAUCCAGCCAUCCCGCGUGUGCGAUGAAGGCCUUCGGGUUGUAAAGCACUUUUGGCAGGAAAGAAACGUCGCGGGUUAAUACCCCGCGGAANUGACGGUACCUGCAGAAUAAGCACCGGCUAACUACGUGCCAGCAGCCGCGGUAAUACGUAGGGUGCAAGCGUUAAUCGGAAUUACUGGGCGUAAAGCGUGCGCAGGCGGUUCGGAAAGAAAGAUGUGAAAUCCCAGAGCUUAACUUUGGAACUGCAUUUUUAACUACCGGGCUAGAGUGUGUCAGAGGGAGGUGGAAUUCCGCGUGUAGCAGUGAAAUCGUAGAUAUGCGGAGGAACACCGAUGGCGAAGGCAGCCUCCUGGGAUAACACUGACGCUCAUGCACGAAAGGUGGGAGCAAACAGGAUUAGAUACCCUGGUAGUCCACGCCCUAAACGNUGUCAACUAGCUGUUGGGGUCUUCGGACCUUUGGGUGGCGCCUAGGCUAACGCGNGAAGUUGACCGCCUGGGGAGUACGGUC